This is a transfer RNA of Camelus ferus (Wild Bactrian camel), 72 nucleotides long. It matches the Rfam family "tRNA". Rfam says of the family: Transfer RNA (tRNA) molecules are approximately 80 nucleotides in length. Their secondary structure includes four short double-helical elements and three loops (D, anti-codon, and T loops). The record is from Rfam. NCBI's taxonomy places the organism in Eukaryota, Metazoa, Chordata, Mammalia, Artiodactyla, Camelidae.
GAAGGUAUAGCUCAGUGGUAGAGCACCUGCUUAGCAUGCAUGAGGUCCAGGGUUCAAUCCCCAGAAACUCCA